GCGGGUGUAGCUCAGGGGUAGAGCACAACCUUGCCAAGGUUGGGGUCGAGGGUUCGAAUCCCUUCACCCGCU
Molecule: transfer RNA, 72 nt
Organism: SAR116 cluster alpha proteobacterium HIMB100
Lineage: Bacteria; Pseudomonadati; Pseudomonadota; Alphaproteobacteria; Puniceispirillales (SeqCode)
Rfam family: tRNA
About the family: Transfer RNA (tRNA) molecules are approximately 80 nucleotides in length. Their secondary structure includes four short double-helical elements and three loops (D, anti-codon, and T loops).
Source: Rfam